RNAcentral lists this transfer RNA (88 nucleotides) under Puccinia coronata f. sp. avenae. It matches the Rfam family "tRNA". Rfam says of the family: Transfer RNA (tRNA) molecules are approximately 80 nucleotides in length. The record is from Rfam by way of RNAcentral. Lineage: Eukaryota; Fungi; Basidiomycota; Pucciniomycetes; Pucciniales; Pucciniaceae.
CCCCCGAUAGCUCAGUUGGAAGAGCGCGAGACUGUAAUGGAUAGAAAAGAUCAUCUUGAGGUCGCUGGUUCGAUCCCGGCUCGGGGGA